RNAcentral lists this ribosomal RNA (468 nucleotides) under uncultured bacterium. RNAcentral describes it as "partial 16S ribosomal RNA". It matches the Rfam family "Bacterial small subunit ribosomal RNA", at positions 28 to 507 of the family's 1533-position model. The record is from RNAcentral.
GACGAACGCUGGCGGCGUGCUUAACACAUGCAAGUCGAACGGAAAGGCCCUGCUUUUGUGGGGUGCUCGAGUGGCGAACGGGUGAGUAACACGUGAGUAACCUGCCCUUGACUUUGGGAUAACUUCAGGAAACUGGGGCUAAUACCGGAUAGGAGCUCCUGCUGCAUGGUGGGGGUUGGAAAGUUUCGGCGGUUGGGGAUGGACUCGCGGCUUAUCAGCUUGUUGGUGGGGUAGUGGCUUACCAAGGCUUUGACGGGUAGCCGGCCUGAGAGGGUGACCGGCCACAUUGGGACUGAGAUACGGCCCAGACUCCUACGGGAGGCAGCAGUGGGGAAUAUUGAACAAUGGGCGGAAGCCUGAUGCAGCAACGCCGCGUGCGGGAUGACGGCCUUCGGGUUGUAAACCGCUUUCGCCUGUGGCGAAGCGUGAGUGACGGUAAUGGGUAAAGAAGCACCGGCUAACUACGUG